AGAAUCAACGCUGGCGGCGUGCCUAACACAUGCAAGUCGCACGAGAAAGGGGCUUCGGCCCUGAGUAAAGUGGCGCACGGGUGAGUAACACGUGAAUGAUCUACCUCCGAGUGGGGAAUAACCAAAAAGAAAUUUUGGCUAAUACCGCAUAACACUUACGAGUCAAAGCAGCAAUGCGCUUGGAGAGGAGUUCGCGGCAGAUUAGCUAGUUGGCGGGGUGAUGGCCCACCAAGGCGAUGAUCUGUA
This 246-nucleotide ribosomal RNA is filed under the name uncultured bacterium. RNAcentral's name for it is "partial small subunit ribosomal RNA". It matches the Rfam family "Bacterial small subunit ribosomal RNA", at positions 26 to 285 of the family's 1533-position model. The record is from RNAcentral.